Molecule: ribosomal RNA, 442 nt
Filed under: uncultured bacterium
Lineage: Bacteria
Description: partial 16S ribosomal RNA
Rfam family: Bacterial small subunit ribosomal RNA
Source: RNAcentral
CUACGGGAUGCACCAGUGGGGAAUAUUGGACAAUGGGGGAAACCCUGAUCCAGCAACGCCGCGUGAACGAAGAAGUCCUUCGGGAUGUAAAGUUCUUUUAAAUGGGAAGAAGGAAGUGACGGUACCAUAGGAAUAAGCCCCGGCUAACUACGUGCCAGCAGCCGCGGUAAGACGUAGGGGGCAAGCGUUACCCGGAAUCACUGGGCGUAAAGGGAGCGUAGGCGGCCUUGAAGGUUGUAUGUUAAAGACGACGGCUUAACCGGAGAAAUGCAUACAAAACCGCGAGGCUUGAGGAUAUCAGAGGAAAAGGGAAUUACCAUUGUAGGGGUGAAAUCCGUAGAGAGUGGUAAGAAUGCCGGUGGCGAAGGCGCUUUUCCGGGGUAUACCUGACGCUGAGGCUCGAAAGCUAGGGGAGCGAACCGGAUUAGAUACCCGUGUAGUC